GACGAACGCUGGCGGCGUGCUUAACACAUGCAAGUCGAACGGAAAGGCCUCUUUCGGGGGGUACUCGAGUGGCGAACGGGUGAGUAACACGUGAGUAACCUGCCCUUGACUUUGGGAUAACUUCAGGAAACUGGGGCUAAUACCGGAUAGGAGCUCCUGCUGCAUGGUGGGGGUUGGAAAGUUUCGGCGGUUGGGGAUGGGCUCGCGGCUUAUCAGCUUGUUGGUGGGGUAGUGGGUUACCAAGGCUUUGACGGGUAGCCGGCCUGGGAGGGUGACCGGGCACAUUGGGACUGAGAUUAGGCCCAGACUCCUACGGGGGGCAGCAGGGGGGAAUAUUGCACAAUGGGUGGAAGCCUGAUGCAGCAACGCCGGGGGCGGGAUGACGGCCUUCGGGUUGUAAACCGCUUUCGCUCAUGACGAAGCUUUGUGUGACGGUAGUGGGUAAAGAAGCACCGGCUAACUACGUG
RNAcentral lists this ribosomal RNA (467 nucleotides) under uncultured bacterium. RNAcentral describes it as "partial 16S ribosomal RNA". It matches the Rfam family "Bacterial small subunit ribosomal RNA", at positions 28 to 507 of the family's 1533-position model. The record is from RNAcentral.